GCCAGGCAUGGUGGUGCAUGCCUGUAAUCCCAGCAGCUUGGGAGGCUGAGGCAGGAGGAACACAAGUUCAAAGCCAGCCUCUCUUUAGAGAUCCUGUCUCUA
RNAcentral lists this small RNA (102 nucleotides) under Marmota monax (woodchuck). Lineage: Eukaryota; Metazoa; Chordata; Mammalia; Rodentia; Sciuridae. The record is from RNAcentral.